CAGCAGUGAGGAAUCUUCCACAAUGGGCGAAAGCCUGAUGGAGCAACGCCGCGUGAAGGAUGAAGGCCUUCGGGUUGUAAACUUCUUUUAUGAGUGAAGAAUAUGACGGUAACUCAUGAAUAAGCACCGGCUAACUACGUGCCAGCAGCCGCGGUCAUACGUAGGGUGCAAGCAUUAUCCGGAGUGACUGGGCGUAAAGAGUUGCGUAGGCGGUUUAAUAAGUGAAUAGUGAAACCUGGUGGCUCAACCAUACAGACUAUUAUUCAAACUGUUAAACUCGAGAAUGGUAGAGGUAACUGGAAUUUCUAGUGUAGGAGUGAAAUCCGUAGAUAUUAGAAGGAACACCGAUGGCGUAGGCAGGUUACUGGGCCAUUUCUGACGCUAAGGCACGAAAGCGUGGGGAGCGAACCGGAUUAGAUACCCGGGUAGUCCACGCCGUAAACGAUGGAUACUAGCUGUUGGAGGUAUCGACCCCUUCAGUAGCGAAGCUAACGCGUUAAGUAUCCCGCCUGUGGAGUACGGCCGCAAGGCUAAAACAUAAAGGAAUUGACGGGGACCCGCACAAGCGGUGGAUUAUGUUCUUUAAUUCGAUGAUAACCGAAGAACCUUACCAGGGCUUGACAUCCAGGGAAGGUCUGCGAAAGUAGACUGUGCCUUUUGGAACCCUGUGACAGGUGAUGCAUGGCCGUCGUCAGCUCGUGUCGUGAGAUGUUAGGUUAAGUCCUUCAACGAGCGCAACCCUUGUGAAUAGUUGUAUUUUUCUAUUCAGACUGCCCCGGUAACGGGGAGGAAGGAGGGGAUGAUGUCAGGUCAGUAUUUCCCUUACGUCCUGGGCUAGAAACGUAAUACAAUGGCUAGUACAAUGCGCAGCGAAGCCGCGAGGUGAAGCAAAUCGCAUCAAAGCUAGUCCCAGUUCGGAUUGUAGGCUGAAACUCGCCUGCAUGAAGUCGGAAUCGCUAGUAAUCGCAAAUCAGCAAGUUGCGGUGAAUACGUUCCCGGGUCUUGUACACACCGCCCGUCAAACCAUGAAAGUGACCAACACCCGAAGUCCGAUUCGUCGGCCUAAGGUGGGGGGCAUGAUUGGGGUUAAGUCGUAACAAGGUAUCCGUACCGGAAGGUGCGGAUG
Molecule: ribosomal RNA, 1126 nt
Filed under: uncultured Rothia sp.
Lineage: Bacteria; Bacillati; Actinomycetota; Actinomycetes; Micrococcales; Micrococcaceae
Description: bacterial SSU rRNA
Rfam family: Bacterial small subunit ribosomal RNA
Source: RNAcentral